AGCUAACGCGUUAAGUCGACCGCCUGGGGAGUACGGCCGCAAGGUUAAAACUCAAAUGAAUUGACGGGGGCCCGCACAAGCGGUGGAGCAUGUGGUUUAAUUCGAUGCAACGCGAAGAACCUUACCUACUCUUGACAUCCAGAGAACUUUCCAGAGAUGCUUUGGUGCCUUCGGGAACUCUGAGACAGGUGCUGCAUGGCUGUCGUCAGCUCGUGUUGUGAAAUGUUGGGUUAAGUCCCGCAACGAGCGCAACCCUUAUCCUUUGUUGCCAGCGCGUGAUGGCGGGAACUCAAAGGAGACUGCCGGUGAUAAACCGGAGGAAGGUGGGGAUGACGUCAAGUCAUCAUGGCCCUUACGAGUAGGGCUACACACGUGCUACAAUGGCGCAUACAAAGAGAAGCGACCUCGCGAGAGCAAGCGGACCUCACAAAGUGCGUCGUAGUCCGGAUCGGAGUCUGCAACUCGACUCCGUGAAGUCGGAAUCGCUAGUAAUCGUGGAUCAGAAUGCCACGGUGAAUACGUUCCCGGGCCUUGUACACACCGCCCGUCACACCAUGGGAGUGGGUUGCAAAAGAAGUAGGUAGCUUAAC
Molecule: ribosomal RNA, 590 nt
Filed under: bacterium
Lineage: Bacteria
Description: bacterial SSU rRNA
Rfam family: Bacterial small subunit ribosomal RNA
Source: RNAcentral